UACGUAGGAGACGAGCGUUGUCCGGAAUUAUUGGGCGUAAAGGGCGCGCAGGCGGCCUCUCGCGUGUCUGGUGAAAGCUCUCGGCUUAACCGGGAGAGGUCCAGGCAGACGGGGAGGCUUGAGCGUCGGAGAGGGGCAUGGAACUCCGGGUGGAGCGGUGAAAUGCGUAGAGAUCCGGAAGAACACCAAUGGCGAAGGCAGUGCCCUGGCCGACCGCUGACGCUCAGGCGCGAAAGCGUGGGGAGCAAACAGG
Molecule: ribosomal RNA, 253 nt
Filed under: uncultured bacterium
Lineage: Bacteria
Description: partial 16S ribosomal RNA
Rfam family: Bacterial small subunit ribosomal RNA
Source: RNAcentral